CUGUUUUCUAGGUAACCCAGCUACGUUGGCAGUCAGAUUUAAAUAAAACAUAAUUCUUGCUCUGUCUUAUCUAGCCUAAUUCCCUUAUUUGACAGAGGGAGCUGAGUCUCAGAGAAGUUAAGUGGAGGAGCUAUGUCUAUUCAUUACUGUAACAAAUAGUUAACAAGCAUCCGUUAUGUGCCAGGCGUGAUUCUAGGCACUGGCAAUGCAGUGGUGAAUAAAAUGGACAAAAAAUCCCUGCCUUUAUGGAACACAGCAUUCUAUUGGAGGAGAAAAAGACCAUAGACAAGGUUCAUGUUGGCUAUGUUGGGGACAACUUUAGAAGAGGAAAGGCAAAAGCAGAGGCACCCUUGAUCCAGGUGAGAAAUAAUGGUGGCUCGGACCAGGGUGGUAGAUAGCCUCCUAAUAUUCCAGUUUAUUGCUCCCUGCCUCCUCCCUCUUUCUCUUCUCACUUUCUCAAUAAACAUUAACAGGGCCCUUACUAUGUGCUAACCAUUGUAUCAGGUGCUGGGUAGACUCCAACGAGUAUGACCCACUAGGAGUCUGGUCUAGUUCACUUAUGAUCCAAGCUGAAGAGAAUUGCAGAGAACAGCUGCUGACUUGGAAGGCAGACUUUGUGACAUCCACGUGGAGCUCUGGGGCAGUUGUCAGCAAAUGCCAUCUACUCAGACAUUAAUGAAAGCACAGAAUGAGCACUGGGUGGCUGAUAUUUCCAUCUGUCCAGCUCCACAAGCCAAAAACUAGGAAGUCAUCUUUACUGCCUCUGCCUCCCUGACCUCCACAUGCUGCCCCCACCACCCCCAUCUAAUCAUCCCAGUUACCUGUAAAACUUCUCUUGAAUCUGUUCACAACUCUCUACCUCUAUAGUAAUAACUCUAGUCCAAGCUAUGAUCAUUUCCCACCUGGUCCCUGUUGUCACUCUGUGGCCUGCGAUCUCUAUUAGUCAGGAUAUAUAGCCAAUGCUGCAGAAACAGAAAGCAUGACCUCUCAGUGGCUUAACACAAAGAAGGUUUCUUUCUCACUUAAGCAAAAGUAGGUGGGGUGAUGCUCCUCCAUCAGUCUAACUACCUGUAUUUUUUCCAUAGCAAUUAUCAUAGUUUGUAAUGAUAUAUUUAAUUGUAUGCUUAUUGGAUUAGAUUGAUUUUCGUUGUUCUCACUAGGAUGUACGCUACCUGAUAGUAAGGCCUACACCUAGAACAAAGCCUAUAAUAUAGCAAUAAUCCUUGAAAUAUUUUUGAAUGAAUGAAUGAAUGGAUAAAUGAAGUGGCUAAACUAUAACUGGAAAACAUUUAAUUGUCCUGAUCUAAAAAAUUAUAAAAUAUUUCCUGUGUAAAAAAUCAUUGUAAUACAUAUGGAUAUUUUAAGCAUAACAAUAAAAAAAAACUCAUGUAUCACCAAUUCAAAAAGAUAACACAUUACCUCUGCCCUCUGUGUGUCCCUCCCUGAGCAUGUCUUAGUCCUAGAGCUAAACAAUAGGUUACAUUUUGUGUUUACCAUUCUUCUUCUUUUUUUG
RNAcentral lists this long non-coding RNA (1513 nucleotides) under Papio anubis (olive baboon). RNAcentral describes it as "lncRNA (ENSPANG00000047806.1)". The record is from RNAcentral. Lineage: Eukaryota; Metazoa; Chordata; Mammalia; Primates; Cercopithecidae.